RNAcentral lists this ribosomal RNA (460 nucleotides) under uncultured bacterium. RNAcentral's name for it is "partial 16S ribosomal RNA". It matches the Rfam family "Bacterial small subunit ribosomal RNA", at positions 338 to 795 of the family's 1533-position model. The record is from RNAcentral.
CCUACGGGAGGCAGCAGUGAGGAAUAUUGGUCAAUGGACGAGAGUCUGAACCAGCCAAGUAGCGUGAAGGAUGACUGCCCUAUGGGUUGUAAACUUCUUUUAUAUGGGAAUAAAAUGUUCCACGUGUGGGAUUUUGUAUGUACCAUAUGAAUAAGGAUCGGCUAACUCCGUGCCAGCAGCCGCGGUAAUACGGAGGAUCCGAGCGUUAUCCGGAUUUAUUGGGGUUAAAGGGAGCGUAGGUGGAUUGUUAAGUCAGUUGUGAAAGUUUGCGGCUCAACCGUAAAAUUGCAGUUGAAACUGGCAGUCUUGAGUACAGUAGAGGUGUGCGGAAUUCGUGGUGUAGCGGUGAAAUGCUUAGAUAUCACGAAGAACUCCGAUUGCGAAGGCAGUUCACUGGACUGCAACUGACACUGAGGCUCGAAAGUGUGGGUAUCAAACAGGAUUAGAUACCCUAGUAGUC